RNAcentral lists this long non-coding RNA (253 nucleotides) under Pan troglodytes (chimpanzee). Its description in RNAcentral is "long non-coding RNA NONPTRT000442". The record is from RNAcentral. Lineage: Eukaryota; Metazoa; Chordata; Mammalia; Primates; Hominidae.
AGGAAAGUAAUGCAAUUGUCAUUAACCAGAGUGAAUGGCCUAGCUGAUGGAUGCCAGCAACGUGCGGAGGCUUGAUAAUCACCUGCUCAUCUCAGGAUGAAUGUGACGCUUUCGUUCCCCCGCAAAGUAUUUAUUUGUGAGAGAUUAGAUUUGACUGGAGUCCUCAGCUUUCUUUCAUCAUUGUCAUUUCCUCUCUGUUCCUCCACUUCCAGCAAUGACUUAGUGGCUCUCAGAAUAACAAGUGUCUUCAGGG